Molecule: long non-coding RNA, 1860 nt
Organism: Helianthus annuus (common sunflower)
Lineage: Eukaryota; Viridiplantae; Streptophyta; Magnoliopsida; Asterales; Asteraceae
Exons: 11
Source: RefSeq, a predicted model, not a curated record
CCGUAACCUUCAUUCUAACAUUUAACCCUAAUUAUCAUUCUCUCUCUCUCUCUCUCUCUCUCUCAAUCUUCACUGGCAAUCUAAACCCAAACCCUAGAUCAAAAUUCGUGUGCCUCUUUAUCUCUCCCUAAUCCUCUUCAUCUCCUCCACCGUCCGUGUGUGUUUCACUCAGAUUUCUUCAUCGCCAACACGAUUCUGUUUCCAGUUUAUUUACCAUGGAUCGAUCGCUAUGGUUUCCUCCUCAUCAAAUCCUUAAUCAGCAGUCGGUUAGGGUUAGAAGGGGGUGUUGAUGGUCGAUUAUGGGUGCAAGGGGGAGUGGUUCAACGCUGUUGGUUGUGGUGGUUUCGCAGCGGUGAAGAUGAGUGGAGGCGGUGGUUGGCUGCACGGAUCUGGUAGUAGAUGGGUUAUAGGUGGGUGUGGUAUUCGUGCCAUUAGCAAAAGAGAUUUAAAAACAAAACUAAUGAUGCAACAAUAUCUUUACGAGAUUUGAUUAAAAUGUGAUUUACCAGGUGGAAUUCCCCUGUCGAAGUGAGAGCCCGUGUUAAUACGUUUUAACAAUCUUGGUGUAGAAGAAAAUUGUCACUACUUGAAGGAAGUUGAAAAUGCUUAGAUUAGGAGGAAUGUAAUAGAUUGCUUUGAAAAGGCAAGCUUACCUACUUUGAGUGAUGAUGAGAGGAAAAGAAUUCUUUAAUUUGUUGUUAUUGGAGGUGGCCCAACUGGAGUGGAGUUUGCAGCUGAGCUUCAUGAUUUUGUGUCCAAUGAAUUGGUGAAGUUGUACCCAUCUGUUAAAGAGUUAGUCUCCAAAACACUUCUUGAGGCAACCGACCAUAUCUGGAGCAUAAGAAAAGUUUCACAGAGAUCGUAAUAUCAAUAUCUGAAGACAAGGGUGAUUGUUGUGAAACUUUCGUAUAAAGAAAUUUCACCCAUGACCACAUACCGAUUCGACUCUUUGGAGUUUCAACUGGAUCCAUUGCUUAGAGCAACAUGUCAUGCUGAUGGUGAUGUUAAUUAUGAAACUGGCUACUUUUCAUACCACCCAUAAAACAUUAACCAAGUAUAUUGCAGUUGAUUUUUGAGCUUGGUCCUUACAUUGAUGAGCUAUCAAAAAACUGGUGGCGCUAUAAAAGAGUUUGGUAACCCCAAGUAACUAAUUUUCUAUAUUUUUCCCUAAUAUUCUAUAGGUUAUACAUUUCAUUGCAGUUGAUUUUUGAGCUUGGUCCUUACAUUGAUGAGCUAUCAAAAAACUGGUGGCGCUAUAAAAGAGUUCGGUAACCCCAAGUUGUAAAAAUAGUAUACUGUGGUAGAACUCAAAGCAGUCUUGAAGUUGUGAUAGUGGGAAUGUAAUAAGUGGUGUGUGUGUGUGUAUGAUGGAGACUUCAAAACGGGCCCACCGAAACUUUAAAAAAAGUUUGCGCUGCAUGGAGCCACAGUGUCUAUCCAUCCACUUGUAAUUGCUGGCUGGUGUGGUUUCACUACUUCAACUUUCAAUAUGCUCCCAAUCGGGUGCCUUGACGGUGGAAGAGUGGUUCAGGUUCGUAUGAGAACCAAAAACACAUUUGGGCUCUAAGAAAAAGAAUACUUGGCUUCUUUUUUUUACCAAAGCAGGGUGCUAGGCAACCAAGUGAUGAAUUUGAAAAUUUUAUAUUGAUAACAAGAUGAGAUCUUUGGCAGAGAAAAAUGUAAGAAGUCGGAAGUACUGCAUAUGGCGAAAAGUUAAAAGACUAGAAGGCAGUCUUAUUUGAAACCUCUUAAAUUGUUUUGUUUCAGCAAAAAGGAUUAUCAUUGUGAUAAUAUACUCAUAUAUGAAACAAUUAAUAACUUAGAAAAUUCAAUAAAAGAGAAAGAAAAGGUUUCCAAGCA